AUUGAACGCUGGCGGCAUGCUUUACACAUGCAAGUCGAACGGUAACAGGCUUUCGGGUGCUGAUGCGUGGCGAACGGGUGCGUAAUGAAUCGGAAAGUACCCAGAGGUGGGGGUUAAGGUAGCGUAAGCUAUGCUAAUCUAACAUGUGAUCUGAGGAUGAAAGCGGGGGACGGAGCAGGAAAGUUUGGCCUCGCGCGUUUGGAGUGGCCGAUGUCGGAUUAGCUAGUUGGUGGGGUAAAGGCCAACCACGGCGACGAUCCGUAGCUGGUCUGAGAGGACGGCCAGCCACACUGGAACUGAGACACGGCCCAGACUCCUACGGGAGGCAGCAGUGGGGAAUUGUGGACAAUGGGCGCAAGCCUUAUCCAGCAAUGCCGCGUGCGGGAAGAAGGCCUUCGGGUUGUAAACCGCUUUUGGCAGGAACGAAACGGUGUCCGCUAAUACCAGGCGCUAAUGACGGUACCUGCAGAAUAAGCACCGGCUAACUACGUG
This 492-nucleotide ribosomal RNA is filed under the name uncultured bacterium. RNAcentral's name for it is "partial 16S ribosomal RNA". It matches the Rfam family "Bacterial small subunit ribosomal RNA", at positions 30 to 507 of the family's 1533-position model. The record is from RNAcentral.